Molecule: ribosomal RNA, 445 nt
Filed under: uncultured bacterium
Lineage: Bacteria
Description: partial 16S ribosomal RNA
Rfam family: Bacterial small subunit ribosomal RNA
Source: RNAcentral
GUAAGGAAUAUUGGUCAAUGGACGAAAGUCUGAACCAGCCAUGCCGCGUGAAGGAUGAAAGCCCUCUGGGUUGUAAACUUCUUUUAUCUGGGACGAAAAAAGGGUAUUCUUACUCACUUGACGGUACCAGAGGAAUAAGCACCGGCUAACUCCGUGCCAGCAGCCGCGGUAAUACGGAGGGUGCAAGCGUUAUCCGGAUUCACUGGGUUUAAAGGGUGCGUAGGUGGGUAUUUAAGUCAGUGGUGAAAUCUCCGAGCUUAACUCGGAAACUGCCAUUGAUACUAUUUACCUUGAAUGCCCUGGAGGUAAGCGGAAUAUGUCAUGUAGCGGUGAAAUGCUUAGAUAUGACAUAGAACACCAAUUGCGAAGGCAGCUUACUACGGGGUGAUUGACACUGAGGCACGAAAGCGUGGGGAGCAAACAGGAUUAGAAACCCUAGUAGUCC